GAGUUUGAUCCUGGCUCAGGACGAACGCUGGCGGCGUGCUUAACACAUGCAAGUCGAGCGGUAAGGCCCUUCGGGGUACACGAGCGGCGAACGGGUGAGUAACACGUGAGCAAUCUGCCCUCCACAUCGGGAUAACCCCCGGAAACGGGAGCUAAUACCGGAUACGACCACUUCAGGCAUCUGAUGGUGGUGGAAAGUUCUGGCGGUGGAGGAUGAGCUCGCGGCCUAUCAGCUUGUUGGUGGGGUAAUGGCCCACCAAGGCUUCGACGGGUAGCCGGCCUGAGAGGGUGACCGGCCACACUGGGACUGAGACACGGCCCAGACUCCUACGGGAGGCAGCAGUGGGGAAUAUUGGACAAUGGGCGAAAGCCUGAUCCAGCAACGCCGCGUGAGGGAUGACGGCC
This 404-nucleotide ribosomal RNA is filed under the name uncultured bacterium. Its description in RNAcentral is "bacterial SSU rRNA". It matches the Rfam family "Bacterial small subunit ribosomal RNA", at positions 9 to 416 of the family's 1533-position model. The record is from RNAcentral.